ACUGAAAAAUACAGGGAGUGCAGAAUUAUUAGGCAAGUUGUAUUUUUGAGGAUUAAUUUUAUUAUUGAACAACAACCAUGUUCUCAAUGAACCCAAAAAACUCAUUAAUAUCAAAGCUGAAUAUUUUUGGAAGUAGUUUUUAGUUUGUUUUUAGUUAUAGCUAUGUUAGGGGGAUAUCUGUGUGUGCAGGUGACUAUUACUGUGCAUAAUUAUUAGGCAACUUAACAAAAAACAAAUAUAUACCCAUUUCAAUUAUUUAUUAUUACCAGUGAAAC
Molecule: long non-coding RNA, 275 nt
Filed under: Pelobates cultripes (western spadefoot toad)
Lineage: Eukaryota; Metazoa; Chordata; Amphibia; Anura; Pelobatidae
Source: RNAcentral